GGCGUGAGGAGAGGAGCCCGCGGCCCAUCAGCUAGUUGGUGAGGUAAUGGCUUACCAAGGCUACGACGGGUAGGGGAUCUGAGAGGAUGUCCCCCACACUGGAACUGAAACACGGUCCAGACGCCUACGGGUGGCAGCAGUGAGGAAUAUUGGACAAUGGGCGAAAGCCCGAUCCAGCAACGCCGCGUGGAGGAUGAAGGCCUUCGGGUCGUAAACUUCUUUAGAGGGAGACGAGAAAGGACGGUAUCCCUAGAAUAAGCGACGGCAAACUACGUG
RNAcentral lists this ribosomal RNA (276 nucleotides) under uncultured bacterium. RNAcentral describes it as "partial 16S ribosomal RNA". It matches the Rfam family "Bacterial small subunit ribosomal RNA", at positions 214 to 507 of the family's 1533-position model. The record is from RNAcentral.